UAUGCUGAAGAAAGGAAGAGAUGUUAAGCAUUUGGGGAAGAUAUCAGCAGAUGCUUUAUAUGUAGUGAAAGCAGAAAUCAAAAUCAGAAUGGAUAAGUUUGGAGGAUUCUCAGAAGAAAAACCUGCAACGGAUGAAAUCCAGGGGAUGUGUUCCAUGCUGAAGAGUGAAAUUGAGUAUGCUACUUCAAAACACUUCAAGGAAUUCAGAGCAGUUGAAUACUGUGACAAGAUAGUGGACGGAAAAUAUUACAUAAUUACAGUUCGUGUUUUGGAUGAUGCAUGUAUAUUUCUGGAGGUCUAUAAAUCUUUACCUGUAC
This is a long non-coding RNA of Cyprinodon variegatus (sheepshead minnow), 317 nucleotides long. RefSeq lists it as uncharacterized. Lineage: Eukaryota; Metazoa; Chordata; Actinopteri; Cyprinodontiformes; Cyprinodontidae. The transcript has 3 exons. The record is from RefSeq and is a predicted model, not a curated record.